GACGAACGCUGGCGGCGUGCCUAAUACAUGCAAGUAGAACGCUGAAGGAGGAGCUUGCUCUUCUGGAUGAGUUGCGAACGGGUGAGUAACGCGUAGGUAACCUGCCUGGUAGCGGGGGAUAACUAUUGGAAACGAUAGCUAAUACCGCAUAAGAGUAGAUGUUGCAUGACAUUUGCUUAAAAGGUGCAAUUGCAUCACUACCAGAUGGACCUGCGUUGUAUUAGCUAGUUGGUGGGGUAACGGCUCACCAAGGCGACGAUACAUAGCCGACCUGAGAGGGUGAUCGGCCACACUGGGACUGAGACACGGCCCAGACUCCUACGGGAGGCAGCAGUAGGGAAUCUUCGGCAAGGGACGGAAGUCUGACCGAGCAACGCCGCGGGAGUGAAGAAGGGUUUCGGAUCGUAAAGCUCUGUUGUAAGAGAAGAACGAGUGUGAGAGUGGAAAGUUCACACUGUGACGGUAGCUUACCAGAAAGGGACGGCUAACUACGUG
Molecule: ribosomal RNA, 495 nt
Filed under: uncultured bacterium
Lineage: Bacteria
Description: partial 16S ribosomal RNA
Rfam family: Bacterial small subunit ribosomal RNA
Source: RNAcentral